Hipposideros armiger (great roundleaf bat) is the source of this 378-nucleotide long non-coding RNA. RefSeq lists it as uncharacterized. The record is from RefSeq and is a predicted model, not a curated record. Lineage: Eukaryota; Metazoa; Chordata; Mammalia; Chiroptera; Hipposideridae. The transcript is spliced from 3 exons.
CUGAAGGGCUGAGAAGCCUGUGGUCCACAUUGGAACUCGGAUGACUACAUUGGCUCCGAGGAGGAGAGCAGCUUGCGAAAGGAGCUGAAGCUGCCGGCUGACUUGCUUUCAGUCUUACUGUGGUUCUUAGUAGCUCCAACCCUGAGCCGGUGGUGGGGACUUCAAAGGCCAAGAGGUUCCACUUCUAGAUUAUGGAGUGUCUUCUCUCCUUUAGAAAGACUUUAGAGAUGGCAGUUGAGACUUGCCUGGAAUAUCUUUCUCACCUGGUUUGAAAGAUGUGUUGGUUACACACAAAGUCUCUGAAGUUCGACAGGCAUGGUAGUUUGAAUCCUGGCUCCACCCCUUCCUAGAGCUAUCACCUUGGACACUUAACUUCUC